UAGUAUGGGGAUCUGCCCGAUAGAGGGGAAUAACUACUGGAAACGGUGGCUAAUACCGCAUAAUGUCUACGGAUCAAAGCAGGGGCUCUUCGGACCUUGCACUAUCGGAUGAACCCAUAUGGGAUUAGCUAGUAGGUGGGGUAAAGGCUCACCUAGGCGACGAUCUCUAGCUGGUCUGAGAGGAUGAUCAGCCACACUGGGACUGAGACACGGCCCAG
Molecule: ribosomal RNA, 218 nt
Filed under: uncultured bacterium
Lineage: Bacteria
Description: partial 16S ribosomal RNA
Rfam family: Bacterial small subunit ribosomal RNA
Source: RNAcentral